This 441-nucleotide ribosomal RNA is filed under the name soil bacterium 10V-06. Its description in RNAcentral is "bacterial SSU rRNA". It matches the Rfam family "Bacterial small subunit ribosomal RNA", at positions 24 to 477 of the family's 1533-position model. The record is from RNAcentral.
UCAGGAUGAACGCUGGCGGCGUGCUUAACACAUGCAAGUCGAACGAUGAUCCGGUGCUUGCACCGGGGAUUAGUGGCGAACGGGUGAGUAACACGUGAGUAACCUGCCCUUAACUCUGGGAUAAGCCUGGGAAACUGGGUCUAAUACCGGAUAUGACUGAUCAUCGCAUGGUGGUUGGUGGAAAGCUUUUUGUGGUUUUGGAUGGACUCGCGGCCUAUCAGCUUGUUGGUGAGGUAAUGGCUUACCAAGGCGACGACGGGUAGCCGGCCUGAGAGGGUGACCGGCCACACUGGGACUGAGACACGGCCCAGACUCCUACGGGAGGCAGCAGUGGGGAAUAUUGCACAAUGGGCGAAAGCCUGAUGCAGCGACGCCGCGUGAGGGAUGACGGCCUUCGGGUUGUAAACCUCUUUCAGUAGGGAAGAAGCGAAAGUGACGGUA